This 225-nucleotide ribosomal RNA is filed under the name uncultured bacterium. RNAcentral's name for it is "partial 16S ribosomal RNA". It matches the Rfam family "Bacterial small subunit ribosomal RNA", at positions 524 to 745 of the family's 1533-position model. The record is from RNAcentral.
GACAGAGGGUGCAAACGUUGUUCGGAAUUACUGGGCGUAAAGCGCGUGUAGGCGGUCUCGGCAAGUCCGGAUGUGGAAAGCCCAGGGCUCGAACCCUGGAAGUGCACUCGAUACUGCGAGGCUAGAGUCCGGAGAGGAUGGUGGAACUCUCGGUGUAGAGGUGAAAUUCGUAGAUAUCGAGAAGAACACCGGUGGCGAAGGCGGCCAUCUGGACGGUGACUGACG